RNAcentral lists this ribosomal RNA (434 nucleotides) under uncultured bacterium. RNAcentral's name for it is "bacterial SSU rRNA". It matches the Rfam family "Bacterial small subunit ribosomal RNA", at positions 28 to 457 of the family's 1533-position model. The record is from RNAcentral.
GACGAACGCUGGCGGCGUGCUUAACACAUGCAAGUCACGGGGGCUGGGCAACCAGCAACCGGCGAACGGGUGCGUAACACGUGAACAACCUGCCCUCGUGUGGGGGAUAGCCAUGCUAACGCGUGGGUAAUACCGCAUACGUUCUCUCUGGGGAGUCCUGGGGAGAGGAAAGCCGUGGGGCAACCCACGGUGCACGGGGAGGGUUCGCGGCCUAUCAGCUAGUUGGCGAGGUCACGGGCCACCAAGGCGACGACGGGUAGCUGGUCUGAGAGGACGAAUCAGCCACACUGGAACUGAGACACGGUCCAGACUCCUACGGGAGGCAGCAGUGGGGAAUUUUGCACAAUGGGCGAAAGCCUGAUGCAGCAAACGCCGCGUGUGUGAUGAAGGUCUUCGGAUCGUAAAGCAACUUUCGACCGGGACGAACAACCUCU